This 701-nucleotide ribosomal RNA is filed under the name Salmonella enterica. Its description in RNAcentral is "bacterial LSU rRNA". It matches the Rfam family "Bacterial large subunit ribosomal RNA", at positions 711 to 1324 of the family's 2925-position model. The record is from RNAcentral. RNAcentral also lists the same sequence under 2 other names. Lineage: Bacteria; Pseudomonadati; Pseudomonadota; Gammaproteobacteria; Enterobacterales; Enterobacteriaceae.
AGACCCGAAACCCGGUGAUCUAGCCAUGGGCAGGUUGAAGGUUGGGUAACACUAACUGGAGGACCGAACCGACUAAUGUUGAAAAAUUAGCGGAUGACCUGUGGCUGGGGGUGAAAGGCCAAUCAAACCGGGAGAUAGCUGGUUCUCCCCGAAAGCUAUUUAGGUAGCGCCUCGUGAAUUCAUCUCCGGGGGUAGAGCACUGUUUCGGCUAGGGGGCCAUCCCGGCUUACCAACCCGAUGCAAACUGCGAAUACCGGAGAAUGUUAUCACGGGAGACACACGGCGGGUGCUAACGUCCGUCGUGAAGAGGGAAACAACCCAGACCGCCAGCUAAGGUCCCAAAGUCAUGGUUAAGUGGGAAACGAUGUGGGAAGGCCCAGACAGCCAGGAUGUUGGCUUAGAAGCAGCCAUCAUUUAAAGAAAGCGUAAUAGCUCACUGGUCGAGUCGGCCUGCGCGGAAGAUGUAACGGGGCUAAACCAUGCACCGAAGCUGCGGCAGCGAACGUAUCACCCAAGACAACUUUACGGAGUUGACGAUUGACGGAGCGAAGCGACGUCAAAGCGUUCAUUAAAGUCGAGUUGGCUUAGGGAUACGUUCGUUGGGUAGGGGAGCGUUCUGUAAGCCUGUGAAGGUGUGUCGUGAGGCAUGCUGGAGGUAUCAGAAGUGCGAAUGCUGACAUAAGUAACGAUAAAGCGGGUGA